RNAcentral lists this ribosomal RNA (493 nucleotides) under uncultured Rothia sp. RNAcentral's name for it is "partial 16S ribosomal RNA". Lineage: Bacteria; Bacillati; Actinomycetota; Actinomycetes; Micrococcales; Micrococcaceae. The record is from RNAcentral.
CACGUAGUUAGCCGGCGCUUUCUCUGCACCUACCGUCACUUUCGCUUCUUCGAUGCUAACAGAGGUUUACAACCCGAAGGCCGUCAUCCCUCACGCGGCGUCGCUGCAUCCGGCUUGCGCCCAUUGUGCAAUAUUCCCCACUGCUGCCUCCCGUAGGAGUCUGGGCCGUGUCUCAGUCCCAGUGUGGCCGGUCACCCUCUCAGGCCGGCUACCCGUCGUCGCCUUGGUAAGCCAUUACCUCACCAACAAGCUGAUAGGCCGUGAGCCCAUCUAAAACCACUCCAUAACGCUUUCCACCAACACCCCAUGCGGAGAUUGGUCGUAUCCGGUAUUAGACCCAGUUUCCCAGGCUUAUCCCAGGGUCAAAGGUAGGUCACUCACGUAUUACUCACCCGUUCGCCACUAAUCCACCUAGCAAGCUAGGCUUCAUCGUUCGACUUGCAUGUGUUAAGCACGCCGCCAGCGUCGUCCUGAGCCACGAAUCAAACUACUA